RNAcentral lists this ribosomal RNA (301 nucleotides) under uncultured bacterium. RNAcentral's name for it is "partial 16S ribosomal RNA". It matches the Rfam family "Bacterial small subunit ribosomal RNA", at positions 509 to 807 of the family's 1533-position model. The record is from RNAcentral.
CAGUCGCCACGGUAAUACGGAGGGUGCAAGCGUUGUCCGGAUUUAUUGGGUUUAAAGGGUGCGUAGGCGGCUAUUUAAGUCAGCGGUGAAAGACUCCGGCUCAACCGGAGCAGUGCCAUUGAUACUGGAUAGCUUGAGUGUUGGAGGGGUACAUGGAAUUGAUGGUGUAGCGGUGAAAUGCAUAGAUACCAUCAGGAACACCGAUAGCGAAGGCAUUGUACUGGCCAACAACUGACGCUGAGGCACGAAAGCAUGGGGAGCGAACAGGAUUAGAUACCCGCGUAGUCCCUGUCUCUUAUAC